GACGAACGCUGGCGGCGUGCUUAACACAUGCAAGUCGAACGAAGAGCGAUGGAAGCUUGCUUCUAUCAAUCUUAGUGGCGAACGGGUGAGUAACGCGUAAUCAACCUGCCCUUCAGAGGGGGACAACAGUUGGAAACGACUGCUAAUGCCGCAUACGAUCUGACCUCGGCAUCGAGGAUAGAUGAAAGGUGGCCUCUAUUUAUAAGCUAUCACUGAAGGAGGGGAUUGCGUCUGAUUAGCUAGUUGGAGGGGUAACGGCCCACCAAGGCGAUGAUCAGUAGCCGGUCUGAGAGGAUGAACGGCCACAUUGGGACUGAGACACGGCCCAGACUCCUACGGGAGGCAGCAGUGGGGAAUCUUCCGCAAUGGACGAAAGUCUGACGGAGCAACGCCGCGUGAGUGAUGACGGCCUUCGGGUUGUAAAGCUCUGUUAAUCGGGACGAAAGGCCUUCUUGCGAAUAGUUAGAAGGAUUGACGGUACCGGAAUAGAAAGCCACGGCUAACUACGUG
Molecule: ribosomal RNA, 510 nt
Filed under: uncultured bacterium
Lineage: Bacteria
Description: partial 16S ribosomal RNA
Rfam family: Bacterial small subunit ribosomal RNA
Source: RNAcentral